GACCGAAGCCGUCCCGCGCCUGUGUUCGUUGUCCCUCCAGGAGGGGGUCCGGGGCGUGGGGACUGAUUUCCGACCUCCCGGGCCCAACGAGCCGUGCUGAAACGUGGCGCCUCGGAGGAGGCUGAGAUUCCUGCAGGUAGACACCAAGGAUCUCCUCAGAGCCAGCGCUGAUCUCAUCCACAGAGGGAUCACAUGACCUCAUCUGGGAAAAUAUAAACCCUACCCACCUGCCUGCCCAUUUGGAAAUGCAGACUGGAGGACGCUAAGUUCAUUCUUACCUAUGUACUAACAAGUACACAAGAAGAUGCUCAAUAUCAUUAGUCCUUGGGGAAAUGCAAAUUAGAUUAUAAUGAGAUUCCAGUGUACACCCACUAGAAGGCUAUUAAAAAGGACAAUACCAACUGUUGGCAACAAUGUGGAGAAAUGGAACCCCUCCUACGUUUCUGAUGAGAAUGUAAAAUGGUGCAGAUACUUUGGAAAACAGUUUGGCAAUUUAUUAAAAGAUUAAAUAAGCAUAAACUUA
This 523-nucleotide long non-coding RNA is filed under the name Homo sapiens (human). Its description in RNAcentral is "uncharacterized LOC105378448 (LOC105378448)". Lineage: Eukaryota; Metazoa; Chordata; Mammalia; Primates; Hominidae. The record is from RNAcentral.